This 414-nucleotide ribosomal RNA is filed under the name uncultured bacterium. RNAcentral describes it as "bacterial SSU rRNA". It matches the Rfam family "Bacterial small subunit ribosomal RNA", at positions 11 to 410 of the family's 1533-position model. The record is from RNAcentral.
GUUUGAUCCUGGCUCAGAGCGAACGUUAGCGGCAGGCUUAACACAUGCAAGUCGAGCGACAAAGGGGCUUCGGCCCUGAGUAGAGCGGCGGACGGGUGCGUAACACGUGGAUAAUCUGCCUCGUGGCGGGGGAUAACAGUCCGAAAGGACUGCUAAUACCGCAUGUCAGGUCGGAAACCCCGGUUUCUGACGAAAAAGAGGGCGCCCGCAAGGGGCUCUCACCACGAGAUGAGUCCGCGGCCCAUCAGCUAGUUGGCGGUGUAAUAGACCACCAAGGCUAAGACGGGUAGCUGGUCUGAGAGGAUGACCAGCCACACUGGGACUGAGACACGGCCCAGACUCCUACGGGAGGCAGCAGUGGGGAAUAUUGGACAAUGGGCGAAAGCCUGAUCCAGCCAUGCCGCGUGAGUGAUG